RNAcentral lists this long non-coding RNA (1905 nucleotides) under Strigops habroptila (Kakapo). Its description in RNAcentral is "lncRNA (ENSSHBG00005008049.1)". The record is from RNAcentral. Lineage: Eukaryota; Metazoa; Chordata; Aves; Psittaciformes; Psittacidae.
UUUUCCCGGAAUUUCUGUUUCCCAAACUGUGGGAAUCACUGCUUCCUCUACUUCUCUAGGUAUUCGGCCUUUGGACUGUCCUUUAACACUAGUAUCUGUCCGGAUUGUGAUUCCGGUACCUGCAUAAUCAAUUCUCCAUUUUCAAAAAUAAUUUUAGCGUUUAAUUUUGAUAAUAAAUCUCAUCCCAACAGGGAAACGGGACAGUCCGGCAUGUAUAGAAACUCAUGUAUCAAUUCCUUUCCCCCAAACCGUAAUUCCAGGGGUCGCAUGAAUGGCCGCACUUCCUCUCUCCCUGUGGCCCCUAUUACGGUGGUAGUCUUAUCCCCUAUUUUCCCAUACAGGUCAUUUAACACAGAAUAAGUUGCACCAGUAUCGACUAAAAAUUGUACCUCCUCUUCCCCCAGCCUUAUUUUCACUAGUGGUUCACCCUUUUCCGAUUCUAGUCAGCUCUGACUCCCAUAUUCUUCCAGAACCAUGGCUUUUGCCACCUCGGAUUCCCCGAAGGAGUAUCCAGAUUGCGGAUUCUGUCUCAGUCUCUGAGGGCAUUCAUUUUUCCAAUGCCCCUCCUGUUUACAAUAGGCACAUUGAUUAAUGCCUAAUAUGCCUGAUCCUGACCCUGGAUUAUUAAGUGUUCCAAAUCCUCUUCCUCGCCCACGCAUUAUUCCUCUACCUCUACCCCUAUUACCAGGGGUACCUUGUCCUUUGCCUUGUAUAUCUCGCUGUCGGGUCCGAUGUGAAACUGCGGUGACGGGACAUUCCCGUUCUUUUCUACAUUCACAUCCUUUAUCUACUUCUAGAUUCUCGUCAUCACUGUCAUCCCUUACUUUCCUGCUUCUUAAAGCAGGUGGGGUUGACGGGGCUGGUGGGGCUAUCAACAAAUCAGAAUCAUCAUCAUCUUUCUGAAAUGUUGAACUUGCCCACGUCGGCGCUGCUCACCCUGCCGCUGCCGCUCUUUUGUCCUUGGCGGCGGGGCUCGCCGCGCCUGCGGAGGUGGGAGGCGACGUCAGUUGCCGCAGCGGGCGCCGCGGACACGUCACGUGGCCCAGGCGCGCGGGUCGGGGGGCGCGCGCGGACAAAGGUGGGACCCGCGGCGGGGUGGGGGGGAGGGAGUGGUGUGUGUGGGACGGGACACGGGACGUGAGCGCUGCCGCUGCCACGGCCCGCUCCGACCGCCGCGGACACGGCGGAGCUACGGGCACCGCCGCGCCCUCCCGACACCCCCCCCCCCCCGAUAGCGGGGCGCAGACUGAUGCAACACCGGCGGGCGAUUGUCACACCGCCGGACGGCGCUUCCCGCGCCGCGGCCGCCUCUGUGUUUACCUCCCCUCUUCCCCACCGGCGACACCGGGCAUCCCCGGCGCUUUCAAUGGGAAAAUGCAAACCAGUCGCGGGACUUCAUCGCGCCGCAGCCGCUCGGGGUUUUUCCAUCCCGGCGGCGUGUCCCUGGGCGCACCCGCCACCGCGUGUCCCGGCGGAGCACGGCGGGACUGGGCGGCAAGGUGGGAGGCUUCCGCCGGUAAAGGCUGCGCCCUGAAAGUCGCCCCGUUCCUCCUGCCGCGCCGUACCUUCUCCACAAGGUCCGGAAAGCAAAACAUUAUUCACAGCCAUGCAUCCCAUACAUUUCUUCUCACCCACACAGCCUUUACAUUGUUCAUUCGAUUUUGCACUAACAACCAUUAUUCCACACGCCUUUCUCCAUUCAUCAUUGUCUCUUAACAUAAAGAACAGUUCCACAUAUGGGACCUCGUCCCAUUUUCCUUCCCGUUUGCAAAAUAACAUUAAUUGCAUAAUCGUAUCAUAAUCUAAAGUUCCAUUCUCCAGCCAACGGACUUGAUCCUCUAAUGCAUAUUGCGUCCACCACACAUUACAGUAAUCAAUCAAUUUCCCUUUUUGCAUCUCUUGUCC